GGCAAACCCGAGUCAGGAGCCGCGGUAAUACGGAGGUUGGAGAGGUUAAUGGGAUUUACUGGGCGGAAAGCGAACGCAGGCGGUUGAUUAAGUUAGAUGUGAAAUCCCCGGGCUUAACCUGGGAAGUGCAUCUAAGACUGGUCAGCUAGAGUCUUGUAGAGGGGGGUAGAAUUCCAUGUGUAGCGGUGAAAUGCGUAGAGAUGUGGAGGAAUACCGGUGGCGAAGGCGGCCCCCUGGACAAAGACUGACGCUCAGGUGCGAAAGCGUGGGGAGCAAACAGGAUUAGAUACCCCAGUAGUC
RNAcentral lists this ribosomal RNA (300 nucleotides) under uncultured Bacillus sp. RNAcentral describes it as "bacterial SSU rRNA". It matches the Rfam family "Bacterial small subunit ribosomal RNA", at positions 495 to 795 of the family's 1533-position model. Lineage: Bacteria; Bacillati; Bacillota; Bacilli; Caryophanales; Bacillaceae. The record is from RNAcentral.